UACGGAGGGUGCAAGCGUUAUCCGGAUUCACUGGGUUUAAAGGGUGCGUAGGCGGGCAGGUAAGUCAGUGGUGAAAUCUCCAAGCUUAACUUGGAAACUGCCGUUGAUACUAUCUGUCUUGAAUACUGUGGAGGUGAGCGGAAUAUGUCAUGUAGCGGUGAAAUGCUUAGAUAUGACAUAGAACACCAAUUACGAAGGCAGCUCACUACACAGCCAUUGACGCUGAGGCACGAAAGCGUGGGGAUCAAACAGG
RNAcentral lists this ribosomal RNA (253 nucleotides) under uncultured bacterium. RNAcentral describes it as "partial 16S ribosomal RNA". It matches the Rfam family "Bacterial small subunit ribosomal RNA", at positions 524 to 776 of the family's 1533-position model. The record is from RNAcentral.